This 757-nucleotide long non-coding RNA is filed under the name Mus musculus (house mouse). RNAcentral's name for it is "predicted gene, 47069". The record is from RNAcentral. Lineage: Eukaryota; Metazoa; Chordata; Mammalia; Rodentia; Muridae.
CAUGAAUCAGCCCUGUCUGUUUUAUGCUGAAGCAUCUAAAAUCUUCAGUUCCUCCAUAAUGACCAGAGAGUCAGCCUGAAGCUCUCCCAAUGCCUCCUCCAGGGAACAGCUCUCCUGGGCCCAUCUACGCCAGGCUGUGGUGCAUGAUUCCUCAUUAACAGAUGUGAAGAGCUCAGAGAAGAAAAAGGCUGGAAUAAAGAUGGUUGGAUCCAAGCGCUUUGUGUGCAGCCAACACAGAGAAAGCUAUGUGCUGAGACACAGCUACCCAGAAAGGAGCCCCAAUCCCAUAAAGAGCCAAAAAUAACAACAAAACAAUAGCAAGAAUCUUGGCUUUCAACACAGGACACACUUCCUGCUCAGAACACUUGAAAAAUCCAUCUAGAAACAGCAUUUGGCAUUCGUGGGGGUCAGCUGAAGCCACGUUCAAUGCUGCAGGCCUGAGGUGGAAAGGCUGAGGCCCAGAUUCCCGCCGCUGCCCAGGCUCGGCUCCUGCAGGAGUCCUUCCAUGCGCUGAUGCACAGAAGGAAUGACCUUUGCAGGACUGUGAGGGCUCAUGGGCCUAACUUAAGAGACACACCUCUGGGCAGACCUCUGAAAAUACUUCCAGAAAGUGCCAAGAGAGAAGACCUUCUUUGUUAAGGAUGAAGGACUCUUCAGUAGGUGGCUCCCAUAUACAGAGCUCUGAGGACAAGGCAUUGAGGCUGUCUGCCUGUCUUUGCUUUUUCCUGGGAAUGCCUUGAUUGCCACUGCUGCUGGG